AGUGAACGCUGGCGGUAGGCCUGACACAUGCAAGUCGAACGGCAGCACAGUAAGAGCUUGCUCUUACGGGUGGCGAGUGGCGGACGGGUGAGGAAUACAUCGGAAUCUACUUUUUCGUGGGGGAUAACGUAGGGAAACUUACGCUAAUACCGCAUACGACCUACGGGUGAAAGCAGGGGAUCUUCGGACCUUGCGCGAUUGAAUGAGCCGAUGUCGGAUUAGCUAGUUGGCGGGGUAAAGGCCCACCAAGGCGACGAUCCGUAGCUGGUCUGAGAGGAUGAUCAGCCACACUGGAACUGAGGCACGGUCCAGACUCCUACGGGAGGCAGCAGUGGGGAAUAUUGGACAAUGGGCGCAAGCCUGAUCCAGCCAUACCGCGUGGGUGAAGAAGGCCUUCGGGUUGUAAAGCCCUUUUGUUGGGAAAGAAAAGCAGCAGGUUAAUACCCCGCUGUUCUGACGGUACCCAAAGAAUAAGCACCGGCUAACUUCGUG
This 492-nucleotide ribosomal RNA is filed under the name uncultured bacterium. Its description in RNAcentral is "partial 16S ribosomal RNA". It matches the Rfam family "Bacterial small subunit ribosomal RNA", at positions 29 to 507 of the family's 1533-position model. The record is from RNAcentral.